RNAcentral lists this ribosomal RNA (346 nucleotides) under uncultured bacterium. RNAcentral describes it as "bacterial SSU rRNA". It matches the Rfam family "Bacterial small subunit ribosomal RNA", at positions 917 to 1267 of the family's 1533-position model. The record is from RNAcentral.
GGGUCCGCACAAGCGGUGGAGCAUGUGGUUUAAUUCGAUGAUACGCGAGGAACCUUACCAGGCUUAAUGUAGUAUGACCGGUCUGGAAACAGACCUUCUCUUCGGAGCAGAUUACAAGGUGCUGCAUGGUUGUCGUCAGCUCGUGCCGUGAGUGUUAGGUUAAGUCCUGCAACGAGCGCAACCCCUAUUCUUAGUUGCCAGCGGUUCGGCCGGGGACUCUAAGAAGACUGCCAGCGCAAGCUGAGAGGAAGGUGGGGGAUGACGUCAAAUCAUCACGGCCCUUACGUCCUGGGCUACACACGUGCUACAAUGGUAUAGACAGAGGGAGCCACCUGGCGACAGGGAG